RNA transcript from Otolemur garnettii (small-eared galago), 672 nucleotides. It is a transcript of the gene named serine/arginine-rich splicing factor 3 pseudogene, with no coding region annotated. Lineage: Eukaryota; Metazoa; Chordata; Mammalia; Primates; Galagidae. The transcript has a single exon. The record is from RefSeq and is a predicted model, not a curated record.
UUUCGUGGACGCUGGAUAAGGAGGAGCAAGUGUGGGAGUCCGGCUAGAGGGGAGCGGGAAGCCGGGCGAUCCAUCGGAGCGUGAGGACUUGAGCCUCCGCACUUUAACUCUAGAUUUCGAAAUGCAUCAUGAUUCCUGUCCAUUGGACUGUAAGGUUUAUGUAGGUAAUCUUGGAAACAAUGGCAAUAAGACUGAAUUGGAAGGGGCUUUUGGCUAUUAUGGACCACUCCGAAGCGUGUGGGUUGCUAGAAACCCUCCCGGCUUUGCUUUUGUUGAAUUUGAAGAUCCUCGAGAUGCAGCCGAUGCUGUCCGAGAGCUAGAUGGAAGGACACUGUGGGGCUGCCGUGGGAGAGUGGAACUGUCCGAUGGUGAAAAGAGAAGUAGAAAUCGUGGCCCACCUCCCUCUUGGGGUCGUCGCCCUCGAGAUGAUUAUCGUAGGAGGAGUCCUCCACCUCGCCGCAGAUCUCCAAGGAGGAGAAGCUUCUCUGGCAGCCGGAGCAGGUCCCUUUCCCGAGAUAGAAGAGAGAGAGAUCAUUGUCUCGGGAGAGAAAUCAUAAGCCCUCCCGAUCCUUCUCUAGGUCUCGAAGCCGAUCUAGGUCGAAUGAAAGGAAAUAGAAGACCAGUUUGCAAGAGAAGUGGUGCACAGGAGAUAACUUCAUUUGACAGAAGUAU